UGCUGGCCAUCGGCCAGGCCCAGAAGCAGCCAGUCUUCGGUCGGACUGUGAGACAGGCUCAUGAUCUGGAUGAACCAGGCAGAGGCAGCAAUGAGACCCCAGCGGGGCAGCUUCAGUACUGGGAUGACAGCCUUUGCCACCAUUGUCCAGUAUGACAAAAGGCCCACGCCUGUGCAGCCACCCUCUCUGUGCACCUGGGACUGGAACGGAUACUCCUGUGACACAUUGGCCAUCCGCAGGUCCCAGCAUCGCAGACAGGCAUCCAGACUCCCCGUCCAGACAUUGUCAUCUUUGACCACAAGGCUCCUGGCCGCACCGGUAGGGCCUUUGAGGUUCCUGGCCAGAAAGCAAAGGGCUAAGCGUAGGCUUAGCAGUCUGUGUCUAAGAUUCCCUCAAAGCCACGGGACCAACCCGACCUGCUGGGGCUCUGACACCUUUGGUAAGAAGGGGACGGUGACAUCAUCCUAAAGUCCCUGCCUCUAAAAGGUAAUGUUCCAAACCAAUACCUAUAAACCCAGCACUGAGGAAGCUGAGGCAGGAGGAUUGCCAUGAGUUCCAUGCCAGGCUGGGGUACGUAAAGACCCUGCCUCAAAAAUGAGGGUAAGGGGGAAGACUCAAAGCUGGCUGUGGUGACUCAAAAUCACCAUCCCAGCUCCUCAGGAGAUUAAGAAAGGAUGAUAGCAACUUAGAGCCAUCCUAGGCUACAGAGUAAGCUCAGUAUCAUCGCUGCAAACUUCACCUGAUCCGACCUUAAGAUAUGAAACUGUGCAGGGCUUGGCAGCACACAUCUGUCAUCCCAGCGCUCUGGAGGCAGAGGCAGGUGGAUCUCUGAGUUCCAAGGCUAGCCUGGUCUACAUAUUGUGACCCUAUGCCAGAUAAAAUGAAUAAACGUAAAAGUGUUGCCCAGAUGGCUCCCAGGUCACUCCGUGGGUAAAGGAGAGCAGAGUUCCAGGAACCCACUUAGUGGAAGAACAGGCUCCUUGCAGGCUGUCCAGAGCCUCUGUUCUCUCUUUGUCCUACAAGAAUCACAAUGAAUAAGCCAGGCCCACAGAGCACUUAGGAGGUGAAGGCAAGAAGAUAAGGAGAGUUUAAGGUUAUCCUCUGUGCUUGAGGACAACCUGGGCUACAGGAGACACUUACUGUAACCUAAAGGUAAAAAAAGCAGGCUGAGGGGCGUGGUCAGGGAUAGGCCCCCUGCCUAGAAUCCCGCAAUGAUGGGCUGGGGGUGUGGUCAGGGGUGGAGUCCCACCCAGAAUCCCCUAGUGAGGGGGGCUAGGUUGUGGCUCCACUCUGGGGGAGGGGGCUUUGGGCAAGAGCGAGCUCAGGACCUCAGCUCGCUGUGCUUUUGUCCCUGCGUCUGCACCUGACUAUUUCCUGAGUCCGUAGGUCCCAUAUCCUGACCACGCCUUCUGUGAAGCCGGCAAGGACCAUGUUGUCCUUGGUGCUGGCCAGCGCCUGGCAGGACAGGCCCUCGCAGGGCAGCUGGCACUUCUCAUACAGGUACGGGGCCGCCAGGUCCCACACGAUCACGCCAGGUAAGUUGCUUCCACCCGCGAACAGGGCCCUGCUGCUAGAGGACAGCAGGCAGGUGCGCAGGCAUGCCCCGCUGGCCUGUGGAGGAUCAUCCCCAUGAGUGAGGAGCCGCCAGGUCCUUCCAGCGCCUCCCAUCCCCAGUCCCUGCCCUGUCACCUGGACGCUGUAUUGCAAGUGGCUUUCGGGGUGUCUGUCCUCGGCCACCUGGCUCAUGAGGUUCCACACCUUGAUGCCGCUCGGGCUGCAGGUGAAGACAUGGCGCGUGAAGGAGUUCACGGCUAUCACUAACAGCAGAUCCUGGUGCUUCAGCACGCGUACCUUCUGCAGCGUCUGGGGGACAGUGAACCUCUCUGAUUGCGAGAGUGAUGUGCCAGGCCCCUUGCAGCUGUUCUCUAAGACUUCAGAGUCCCAGGACCUAGGGAUAUGGGACCCAGAGUGAAGUAUUCAAGACAGGAUCUUAGUCCAGGUUGGCCUUUAACUCCCUAGGGAGCAAAGGCUGACCUUGAUUUUUUAUUUUUUAUUUUUGGUUUUUUAAGACAGGGUUUCUCUGUGUGGUUCUGGUUGUCCU
Long non-coding RNA from Mastomys coucha (southern multimammate mouse), 2101 nucleotides. RefSeq lists it as uncharacterized. The transcript is spliced from 3 exons. Lineage: Eukaryota; Metazoa; Chordata; Mammalia; Rodentia; Muridae. The record is from RefSeq and is a predicted model, not a curated record.